This 320-nucleotide ribosomal RNA is filed under the name uncultured eukaryote. RNAcentral's name for it is "partial 18S ribosomal RNA". It matches the Rfam family "Eukaryotic small subunit ribosomal RNA", at positions 1470 to 1796 of the family's 1831-position model. The record is from RNAcentral.
CCCCUAGAUGUUCUGGGCCGCACGCGCGCUACACUGAACAGUUCAACAAGUCUUAACCUUGGCCGAUAGGUCUGGGUAAUCUUUGAACGCUGUUCGUGACUGGGAUAGACCUUUGCAAUUAUGGGUCUUCAACGAGGAAUUCCUAGUAAACGCAAGUCAUCAGCUUGCAUUGAUUACGUCCCUGCCCUUUGUACACACCGCCCGUCGCACCUACCGAUUGAAUGGUCCGGUGAAAUCUCGGGACGGCGGCUUGGUCGCUUGCGUCCGACUGCUGAAACUUGAUUAAACCAUAUCAUUUAGAGGAGGGUGAAGUCGUAACA